Molecule: non-coding RNA, 399 nt
Organism: Labrus mixtus (cuckoo wrasse)
Lineage: Eukaryota; Metazoa; Chordata; Actinopteri; Labriformes; Labridae
Source: the annotation of a RefSeq genome assembly
AUGGAGGCUCGUCAAGCCACAGUUACAGCUCAUCAACAGGGAAUCAGCGUAUCGAGUCAUGGUGGUCCUUUUUCAGAAGAGGAAGGUGUUGAUGGUCAGACUCUGACACAAUCUGCACCAGUGGUUAAAAGGCCUGGAGAAUCCCACAGACUGACCUGUUAUGCCUAUGGGUUUACAAUGAGCAGCUAUGAUAUGAACUGGGUCAGACAGGCUCCUGGAAAAGGACUGGAGUGGAUCGCCUGGGUUGAGAGUGAUAAUGACAGAAAAUACUACUCUCAGUCAGUUACAGGCCGGUUCACCGCCUCCAGAGACAACAGCAGACAGCAGGUGUAUCUGCAGAUGAACAGUCUGAAGACUGAAGAUUCUGCUGUUUAUUAUUGUGCCAGAGACACACAGUGA